UGUAUCCUACUUAUGGUUUAUUUGUCUCGGUGAAAUUCAUACCACAUAUCCUUGUUUUCAUUUACGAUUUCUGUACUAAAAUGCAAAGUUUGAUAACACUUUCUCAAAAUAUCACUCAAAACUAAUGAUUAAAACAAAUGCCUGCGAAAAUAACACUUUCAUUACUGCCAUUGAUAAAGUAAUCAAGGACCAUUACUCUUGAUUGACAAAAAUGAAAUUUGUUAUUAUCAAAAUUGACCUCC
This 242-nucleotide long non-coding RNA is filed under the name Mytilus galloprovincialis (Mediterranean mussel). Lineage: Eukaryota; Metazoa; Mollusca; Bivalvia; Mytilida; Mytilidae. The record is from RNAcentral.